AGAGUUUGAUCAUGGCUCAGGACGAACGCUGACGGUGUGCUUUAGACAUGCAAGUCGAACGGGGUCCCUUCGGGGAUCUACGUGGCGGACGGGUGAGGAACACGUGGGGAAUCUGCCCUGAGGUGGGGGGUAGCCCGUGGAAACACGGGGUAAUUCCGCAUAGCCUGCCUUCCUAGUAAGGGAGGGCAGGAAAGCCUUCGGGCGCCUUGGGAGGAGCCUGCGGCCGAUUAGCUUGUUGGUGGGGUAAUGGCCUACCAAGGCGAUGAUCGGUAGCUGGUCUGAGAGGACGACCAGCCACAGGGGAACUGAGACACGGCCCAGACUCCUACGGGAGGCAGCAGUGGGGAAUUUUCCGCAAUGGGCGAAAGCCUGACGGAGCAAUACCGCGUGAGGGAGGAAGGCUCUUGGGUUGUAAACCUCUUUUCUCAAGGAAGAAAAAAAUGACGGUACUUGAGGAAUAAGCAUCGGCUAACUCCGUGCCAGCAGCCGCGGUAAUACGGAGGAUGCAAGCGUUAUCCGGAAUGAUUGGGCGUAAAGCGUCCGCAGGUGGCUAUGUAAGUCUGCUGUUAAAGAGUCUGGCUCAACCAGAUAAAGGCAGUGGAAACUACAUGGCUAGAGUGCGUUCGGGGCAGAGGGAAUUCCUGGUGUAGCGGUGAAAUGCGUAGAGAUCAGGAAGAACACCGGUGGCGAAAGCGCUCUGCUAGGCCGCAACUGACACUGAGGGACGAAAGCUAGGGGAGCGAAUGGGAUUAGAUACCCCCGUAGUCC
Molecule: ribosomal RNA, 768 nt
Filed under: uncultured cyanobacterium
Lineage: Bacteria; Bacillati; Cyanobacteriota
Description: bacterial SSU rRNA
Rfam family: Bacterial small subunit ribosomal RNA
Source: RNAcentral